Molecule: ribosomal RNA, 256 nt
Filed under: uncultured bacterium
Lineage: Bacteria
Description: partial 16S ribosomal RNA
Rfam family: Bacterial small subunit ribosomal RNA
Source: RNAcentral
UACGGGGGGAGCAAGCGUUGUUCGGAUUUACUGGGCGUAAAGGGCGCGUAGGCGGCCACCGCAAGUCGACUGUGAAAUCUCCGGGCUUAACUCGGAAAGGUCAGCCGAUACUGCGGGGCUAGAGUGCAGAAGGGGCAACUGGAAUUCUCGGUGUAGCGGUGAAAUGCGUAGAUAUCGAGAGGAACACCUGCGGCGAAGGCGGGUUGCUGGGCUGACACUGACGCUGAUUGUGCGAAAGCUAGGGGAGCGAACGGGG